RNAcentral lists this unclassified non-coding RNA (271 nucleotides) under uncultured Microascales. Its description in RNAcentral is "sequence contains ITS2". The record is from RNAcentral. Lineage: Eukaryota; Fungi; Ascomycota; Sordariomycetes; Microascales.
AACGCACAUUGCGCCCGGUAGUAAUCUGCCGGGCAUGCCUGUCCGAGCGUCAUUUCAGCCCUCGACCCACUAUUCGCGUAGCUGGAUCGGUGUUGGGGCACUACGGUGGAAUACCCGUAGGCUCCGAAAUGAAGUGGCGGUCCCGCCGCGGCGCCCCCAUGCGUAGUAACAUCUCGUCUCGCAUCGGGUCCCGGCGGAGGCCUGCCGUCAAGCCUAUUUAUUCUCAGAAUAGUUUGACCUCGGAUCAGGUAGGGUUACCCGCUGAACUUAA